CUUUCCCUCUUUCUUUCUGCCUAACACAUGCAAGUCGAACGGCAGCACAGUAAGAGCUUGCUCUUACGGGUGGCGAGUGGCGGACGGGUGAGGAAUACAUCGGAAUCUACUUUUUCGUGGGGGAUAACGUAGGGAAACUUACGCUAAUACCGCAUACGACCUACGGGUGAAAGCAGGGGAUCUUCGGACCUUGCGCGAUUGAAUGAGCCGAUGUCGGAUUAGCUAGUUGGCGGGGUAAAGGCCCACCAAGUCGACGAUCCGUAGCUGGUCUGAGAGGAUGAUCAGCCACACUGGAACUGAGACACGGUCCAGACUCCUACGGGAGGCAGCAGUGGGGAAUAUUGGACAAUGGGCGCAAGCCUGAUCCAGCCAUACCGCGUGGGUGAAGAAGGCCUUCGGGUUGUAAAGCCCUUUUGUUGGGAAAGAAAAGCAGCAGGUUAAUACCCCGCUGUUCUGACGGUACCCAAAGAAUAAGCACCGGCUAACUUCGUG
RNAcentral lists this ribosomal RNA (492 nucleotides) under uncultured bacterium. RNAcentral's name for it is "partial 16S ribosomal RNA". It matches the Rfam family "Bacterial small subunit ribosomal RNA", at positions 36 to 507 of the family's 1533-position model. The record is from RNAcentral.